Small nucleolar RNA from Grammomys surdaster, 132 nucleotides. RefSeq annotates it as small nucleolar RNA SNORA17. NCBI's taxonomy places the organism in Eukaryota, Metazoa, Chordata, Mammalia, Rodentia, Muridae. The transcript has a single exon. The record is from RefSeq and is a predicted model, not a curated record.
GCUGCCCCUAGAGGCGGUUCAGGUGUGGCUGCUGUGUCACAUGUGCGUCAGUAGGUGGCAGAGAGGAGAGAGGCUGUGUCUACAUUCAGCGUUCUGACCUGUGAACUUGUGGAUGAUUAGUGGCCUAGUAUU